GUGGCCACAAUCCCUUAGGACGAUGUAAUUUCUCACUGUCUGGAGGUGGGAGCUAUUGUCCUGCUUUCCAGCUUGUUGUCUCAAGUAGUUCUGGAAGGCCCUGGCUUCUGCUGACUCACAAGAGAUGCACCCAGCAAAACCAGCCCUCCAGCCCAUGGCUCGCUCCCUGCCGCCCCCACCCCUCCUAAGGGCUUUUGGAAUGGCUAGGAAGAUAACAAACCUUCCCCCUGCUCGGGGGCAGAGAGCUUAACUGGAGCUGUUGAGUCCAGGUGUGACUGCCAAGAAGGAUCCAGAAGAGCCAAAGAGCCCGAACUUGUCGGCGCUUCCUGCCGCCCGCCGCACACACGUAAAACCCGGAGGAAGUGAGUGGGGAUCAGUGGGAGGAAGCGAGCCAACCGGGCCGGCAACCGCAUCGGUCUGAAGCGGCGAGAGCAACAGGAAAGGGGCCUUGGCACGCCGUGGACUUGGCAAGGCGCCAAGCUGCACUGUUUUUGGGGUGUGCGUGUGGGCGUUUGCUGAGGCCGCCUGUCUUUCCCCGCAGCUCCGGGGCUGCGUGGCCGUGGGCGCGCCAAGCUCGCGCUGGUUACCUGCGCCCAGCGCCCGCCCACCCCUGCCUCGCCAGGGCGCCCCCGCCACCGGAACCUGCUGUCUGCGCAGUGCGGAGGAAGGACCUGCCCGGGGAGUGGUGGCUAAGCGCCCGGGCCGCUGCACGAGGACACGUGGAGGACAGGGUGACGCUGCAGAAGAGCCCGGGUGGGACGGAGAGCACGAGAGCCGAGGACCGGGCAAGGGCGAGUUAGGCAUCCUGUCCACGCGGUGCCAGCAGGUGCGCGCAGGGCGAGGGCGGCUGCCAGCCCGGCCGCGUGCACCCACUCAGGCUGCGCCCGGGGGAGCCCCCUGUCCAGAGGUGGAGGCGCCGUACCUGAAGGUGGACCAACAAGGUACCUGACGGAUGGAGGCAGAGCUGGAGAGAGGCAGAGUGAGGCAGCGCUUGGAAGGAGAGGAGCCGCCGGCUGCCGUGGGGCUGCACCCUGCGCUCUCCUUCUAGGGAGGAUGGCAGAAUUUAUAACCCAGCGUCUGGAUGGAGGCACUGUAAAUUGUAGUCUGGAUGUCUACCCUGCUGUCAAGGAAGAAACUGAUGGGCCAGGUGACUGUACCGGUGUCCCCAGAGGAAACAGCAGUCUUGCAGCAUGGAUUUAACUGCAUGUGCAUGCGUGUAUGGACAGGGAGAAAAAAAGGGAGAUGUCUGCCCAUUUUACACAGGAAGUCUGUCACUUUGCUGGAUCGGGCUUGAUUACAGCUUGUGUUUUCAGCUCCAGCUCAACACCCAUUUCCUGACUAGCGAGAGCUUGGCCAGAGCAGCUGCGUGCAGGAUUUUCCUUUUACUGUGAAAGCCAGCCCCUCGCUUUAACUCCUUGGAGCUCUGAGUGCUCUGUGCCUCGCGAGGACUGAUGGUGGGGCUUUGUUUUCUUCUUCUACCCGUCCCCAUAAACACAGCUGUAUUCAGUAUGGUGAAAAAUUCUAUCCUGUAAAUAGAAAUCUGAUCAAUUUAAUCAAAAUAAAUGUAUCCCAGAUGACUUUGAGACCAGCUGGCUACCCCAGGCUUCAGAUGCUCCAUGCUCAGUGGAGAUGAAUAGUCUUCUAUUUACAUUGUGCCGUUUUGUUUUUUUUUUUAGAAUACCAGAAUAAGCGUCUAAUUAAAAAGAGAAAUCCUUUUCUAAGCAAGAGGCCGUCCUACGGCUCUGAGAGAUGGUUAGGUACAGAUGCGGGUGGUGUCCGGGUGUUUGGAGUCAGCAAUGCCGCGUUUCAAAGGGCAGCGUGCGGCUGUGUUGCGGCUGUGUUGCCGUGGAGCGAGCUCGCAGAGCGCGAGCUGCUGAAGGGGGCCACCUUGCACAGACCUGCUGGUGUGGUCGGGGUGGGGGGGUGUCCCUGGGGUUGGUGGUGGGUUCCCAUCAGUGAGCCGUGGCACUCCAGCCCGGUGGAGCAGGCUUCAGGGGUGGUGGGGGGAGCUUUCCCAGGGGGACCUCUGCUGGGACGCCUGUCUGGU
Long non-coding RNA from Dasypus novemcinctus (nine-banded armadillo), 2047 nucleotides. The record is from Ensembl. Lineage: Eukaryota; Metazoa; Chordata; Mammalia; Cingulata; Dasypodidae.